GUUUCUGUAGUGUAGUGGUUAUCACGUUCGCCUCACACGCGAAAGUUCCCCGGUUCGAAACCGGGCAGAAACA
Xenopus tropicalis (tropical clawed frog) is the source of this 73-nucleotide non-coding RNA. Lineage: Eukaryota; Metazoa; Chordata; Amphibia; Anura; Pipidae. The record is from Rfam.